AAUGAACGUUGGCGGCGUGGAUUAGGCAUGCAAGUCGAGCGGAAAGGCCCCUUCGGGGGUACUCGAGCGGCGAAAGGGAGAGUAACGCGUGGAUAUCUGCCUCCAGGACCGGGAUAGCGGCGGGAAACUGCCGGUAAUACCGGAUAAUGUCUCCGGACCAAAUGGGACUGCCGCCUGGAGAGGGGUCCGCGUCCUAUUAGCUUGUUGGUGGGGUAAUGGCUCACCAAGGCUGUGAUGGGUACCGGGUGUGAGAGCAUGGCCCGGCUCACUGGGGCUGAGACACUGCCCAGACACCUACGGGCGGCUGCAGUCGAGAAUCUUCGGCAAUGGGCGCAAGCCUGACCGAGCGACGCCGCGUGCGGGAUGAAGGCCUUCGGGUUGUAAACCGCUGUCAGAGGGGAGGAAAUCCAGGGGGCCCACUCCCUGGUUGACCUAGCCUCAGAGGAAGGACGGGCUAAGUUCGUG
RNAcentral lists this ribosomal RNA (465 nucleotides) under uncultured bacterium. RNAcentral's name for it is "bacterial SSU rRNA". It matches the Rfam family "Bacterial small subunit ribosomal RNA", at positions 28 to 507 of the family's 1533-position model. The record is from RNAcentral.